This 468-nucleotide ribosomal RNA is filed under the name uncultured bacterium. RNAcentral's name for it is "partial 16S ribosomal RNA". It matches the Rfam family "Bacterial small subunit ribosomal RNA", at positions 28 to 507 of the family's 1533-position model. The record is from RNAcentral.
GACGAACGCUGGCGGCGGGCCUAACACAUGCAAGUCGAACGGAAAGGCCAUGAUCCUUUGGGGUGUUCGAGUGGCGAACGGGUGAGUAACACGUGAGUAACCUGCCCUUUACUUUGGGGUAACUUCAGGUAACUGGGGCUACUACCGCAUCGUAACGCCUGAUGCAUAGAGGGGGUUGGAAAGUUUCGGCGGUUGGGCAUGGACUCGCGGCUUAUCAGCUUGUUGGUGGGGUAGUGGUUUACCAAGGCUGUGACGGAUAGCCGACCUGAGAGGGUGACCGGCCACCUGAGUACUGAGAUACGCCCCAGACUCCGAAGUGAGGCAGGGGUCGUAAGGAUUGCACAAUGAUCGGAAGUCUAAUGCAGCAACGUCGGGUGUGGGAGGACGGUCUGGGGGUUGUGAACCGAGUACAGCUGUGACGUAGCGUCAGUGACGUUAAUGGCUGAAGAAGCACCGGCUAACUACGUG